CUUGGAUCUGACUUCGGACCGGCCCUGCCAUUUUAAUUGACUGCUAAAAGAAUGGAAUUUCAGGGAAAAACUUUUUUGAUUUUAAUAAUUAAAGUUAUUUUAAUUUGUGAAGAAACAAUUAUAAAAAUUAGGGACAAGAAGACCCUAAGAAUUUAUGAAUUUAUACAUAAAUGUAUAUUGUGUUUUAAAUUCUUGGUUGGGGCAACCAAAAAAUAUUUGUAACUUUUAUAAAAUAAAAUGAUCCAUUAUUAAUGACAAUAUGAUUAAAAUACUCUAGGGAUAACAGCGUAAUAAUUUUAGAUAGACCAUAUAGACAAAAUAGUUUGCGACCUCGAUGUUGGAUUAGGAUACUUAUUUAACGAAGAUGUUAAAAAAAAGAAGUUUGUUCAACUUUUAAAUUCCUACUUGAUCUGAGUUCAGACCGGACUG
This 429-nucleotide ribosomal RNA is filed under the name Dermacentor auratus. RNAcentral describes it as "partial large subunit ribosomal RNA". The stretch from base 279 to 429 matches the Rfam family "Bacterial large subunit ribosomal RNA", at positions 2473 to 2623 of the family's 2925-position model. Lineage: Eukaryota; Metazoa; Arthropoda; Arachnida; Ixodida; Ixodidae. The record is from RNAcentral.